UACGGAAGGCAGCAGUGGGGAAUAUUGCACAAUGGGCGCAAGCCUGAUGCAGCCAUGCCGCGUGUAUGAAAAGGCCUUCGGGUUGUAAAGUACUUUCAGUCGUGAGGAAGGUGUUAAGGUUAAUAACCUUAGCAAUUGACGUUAGCGACAGAAGAAGCACCGGCUAACUCCGUGCCAGCAGCCGCGGUAAUACGGAGGGUGCGAGCGUUAAUCGGAAUUACUGGGCGUAAAGGGCACGCAGGCGGUUAAUUAAGUUGGAUGUGAAAUCCCCGGGCUUAACCUGGGAAUGGCAUUCAAGACUGGUUAGCUAGAGUCUUGUAGAGGGGGUAGAAUUCCAUGUGUAGCGGUGAAAUGCGUAGAGAUGUGGAGGAAUACCGGUGGCGAAGGCGGCCCCUGGACAAAGACUGACGCUCAUGUGCGAAAGCGUGGGGAGC
RNAcentral lists this ribosomal RNA (434 nucleotides) under uncultured bacterium. Its description in RNAcentral is "bacterial SSU rRNA". It matches the Rfam family "Bacterial small subunit ribosomal RNA", at positions 340 to 769 of the family's 1533-position model. The record is from RNAcentral.